CCUACGGGAGGCUGCAGUGGGGAAUAUUGGACAAUGGGGGCAACCCUGAUCCAGCCAUGCCGCGUGUGUGAAGAAGGCCCUCGGGUUGUAAAGCACUUUCAGUGAGGAAGAACGCCUGGUGGUUAAUACCCAUCAGGAAAGACAUCACUCACAGAAGAAGCACCGGCUAACUCCGUGCCAGCAGCCGCGGUAAUACGGAGGGUGCGAGCGUUAAUCGGAAUUACUGGGCGUAAAGCGCGCGUAGGUGGCUUGAUAAGCCGGUUGUGAAAGCCCCGGGCUCAACCUGGGAACGGCAUCCGGAACUGUCAAGCUAGAGUGCAGGAGAGGAAGGUAGAAUUCCCGGUGUAGCGGUGAAAUGCGUAGAGAUCGGGAGGAGUACCAGUGGCGAAGGCGGCCUUCUGGACUGACACUGACACUGAGGUGCGAAAGCGUGGGUAGCAAACAGGAUUAGAUACCCUAGUAGUC
This 465-nucleotide ribosomal RNA is filed under the name Vreelandella stevensii. RNAcentral's name for it is "partial 16S ribosomal RNA". It matches the Rfam family "Bacterial small subunit ribosomal RNA", at positions 338 to 795 of the family's 1533-position model. Lineage: Bacteria; Pseudomonadati; Pseudomonadota; Gammaproteobacteria; Oceanospirillales; Halomonadaceae. The record is from RNAcentral.